This is an RNA transcript of Manihot esculenta (cassava), 3462 nucleotides long. It is a transcript of the gene named AMP deaminase, with no coding region annotated. NCBI's taxonomy places the organism in Eukaryota, Viridiplantae, Streptophyta, Magnoliopsida, Malpighiales, Euphorbiaceae. The record is from RefSeq and is a predicted model, not a curated record. The transcript is spliced from 20 exons.
AAAGCAAUUGCAAUGUCACACAGUGCGGUGCCCACUGCCCGUUCCACCACAUUUCGUUGGUCUCCACUAACGAAAAUAAUAUGAGAGAGAGAGUGAAAGAUGAAAAUGCCGUCUUCUUUGAUGAGCCUAUAAAUAUUUGAAAAAGACACUUGUCGCGAAUAAAAAACGCAGCUCUCUGUUGCCCCCUUAGCUCCACUGUUGGCCAGAGAGUCCUUUACUUUGCAGGGAAAUAUAUAACCUUGAACUACUGUAUGCUGCAUAGGCAGGCCCAUAGAGAGAGAGGUACUGAUGGAUACUUACACGGUGCAUCUGGCCAUGGCCGCGCUGGUAGGAGCUUCGCUUGUGGCUGUAUCGGCGUAUUAUAUGCACCGGAAAACCCUAACUCAGUUGCUGGAGUUUACCAAGACGGUUGAGAGAGAAAGAGAGAGGGAGAGGGAUGAAAACUCUGAUGGAGAAUCGCCGCAGCAUGUGAAGAAACGCCGUAGCUAUGCCCCGAGGAAAGGAGGCGGCUACUAUCGCCGUGGCUCUGCGUCGCUGCCGGAUGUCACGGCCUUUUCUCGUGGCAGUGGAGGAGUCGAUGAAGAGGAGAAGCAGAAUGGUAUUCUGCAUGUUGAUGGGAUUCCCCCUGGGUUGCCUAGGUUGCAUACGCUGCCUGAAGGGAAAGCUGCUAGCCAUGUCAAGAGACCUGGAAGUCUUAUUAGACCAACUUCCCCAAAAUCUCCUGUUCCUAGUGCUAGUGCCUUUGAGAGUAUGGAUGGAUCAGAUGAAGAUGAUAAUAUGAAUGACAAUGCUAAGCUAGACACGACCUAUCUCCAUACCAAUGGAAUUGCUGGUCCUGAGUCUAAAGGCCUAUUUGAGAAUUUGCCAGAACACGCUAAUGCCAAUGGGGAGCAAAUUCCUAUACCUGCUUCAAGCAUGAUUCGAUCCCACAGUAUCUCUGGUGACUUGCAUGGGGUACAGCCUGAUCCUAUUGCAGCUGAUAUUCUUAGAAAAGAGCCAGAACAAGAAACUUUUGCUAGGCUUAAAAUUUCCCCUACCGAGGUACCAUCUCCUGAUGAAGUGGAGUCCUAUAUAGUUCUUCAAGAAUGCCUUGAAAUGCGAAAAAGAUAUUUAUUUAAGGAAGCAAUUGCUCCAUGGGAAAAAGAAGUUAUUUCUGACCCCAGUACACCAAAACCUAAUCCAGAGCCAUUCUUCUAUGCUCCGGAGGGAAAGUCUGAUCAUUAUUUUGAGAUGCAAGAUGGAGUCAUCCAUGUGUAUGCAAAUAAAGACUCUAAGGAAGAACUCUUUCCUGUUGCUGAUGCAACAAACUUCUUCACUGAUUUGCAUCACAUACUUCGAGUUAUUGCGGCUGGGAAUAUCAGAACUUUAUGCCAUCAUCGGCUUAAUCUUCUAGAACAAAAAUUCAACCUUCAUUUGAUGCUUAAUGCGGAUAGGGAGUUUCUUGCUCAGAAAAGUGCUCCUCAUCGUGACUUCUAUAAUGUCAGGAAAGUGGAUACACAUGUUCAUCAUUCAGCGUGCAUGAACCAAAAACAUCUUUUAAGGUUUAUUAAGUCAAAAUUGAGGAAAGAGCCUGAUGAGGUUGUGAUAUUUCGGGAUGGGACUUACCUGACUUUAAAGGAAGUGUUUGAGAGCUUGGAUUUGACUGGGUCUGACCUUAAUGUUGACCUUUUGGAUGUUCAUGCUGACAAGAGCACAUUUCAUCGCUUUGAUAAAUUCAACCUUAAGUACAAUCCUUGUGGUCAGAGUAGGCUAAGGGAGAUUUUCCUUAAACAGGACAAUCUUAUCCAAGGUCGUUUCUUGGCUGAGCUGACAAAAGAAGUGUUUUCUGAUCUUGCUGCAAGUAAAUAUCAGAUGGCUGAAUAUCGAUUAUCAAUAUAUGGCCGGAAGCAAAGUGAAUGGGACCAAUUAGCUAGCUGGAUAGUGAACAAUGAAUUGUACAGUGAGAAUGUGGUUUGGUUAAUUCAGCUUCCAAGACUGUACAAUGUGUACAAGGAAAUGGGGAUUGUGACCUCAUUCCAGAACAUUCUUGACAAUAUCUUUAUUCCACUCUUUGAAGUUACUGUGGAUCCCGAUUCACAUCCACAGCUGCAUGUUUUCUUAAAACAGGUUGUUGGAUUGGAUUUGGUUGAUGAUGAAAGCAAGCCUGAAAGACGCCCCACAAAGCACAUGCCUACACCAGCUCAAUGGACCAAUGUGUUCAAUCCUGCAUAUUCAUAUUAUGUGUACUAUUGUUAUGCCAACCUAUACACAUUAAACAAGCUUCGUGAAUCAAAAGGCAUGACAACAAUCAAAUUCCGUCCACAUUCUGGAGAGGCUGGUGAUAUUGACCAUCUUGCUGCUACAUUUCUGACGGCUCAUAACAUUGCACAUGGAAUCAAUCUGAGAAAGUCUCCUGUACUUCAAUAUUUAUACUAUCUAGCACAGAUUGGUCUGGCAAUGUCUCCUCUGAGCAACAAUUCUCUAUUUUUAGACUACCAUCGGAAUCCAUUUCCUAUGUUCUUCCUCUGUGGUCUCAAUGUUUCCCUUUCAACAGAUGAUCCACUCCAAAUUCACCUAACAAAGGAACCUUUGGUGGAAGAAUAUAGCAUAGCUGCUUCUGUAUGGAAGUUGAGUUCUUGUGAUCUAUGUGAAAUAGCCCGGAAUUCAGUAUACCAAUCAGGUUUCUCACAUGUUCUGAAGGUAUGCACUUUGGCCUACCUUGAUAGAAGAUGCAGGAAUUUGGCAAGUGGGGGAUAUGAGUUUGACCCCACCUGUGGCAAUAAUAAUGAAGAUGGGGGUGGUUGGCAAUGAACGAUGAUUGUGGUCCGUCACACUGGAUUGGGAAAGAGUACUACAAGAGAGAGCCAGAUGGAAAUGACAUUCGCAGGACAAAUGUGCCUCACAUCCGGGUGGAAUUUCGUGAUACGAUAUGGAGAGAGGAGAUGCAACAGGUUUAUCUUGGCAAGGCCAUUUUCUCCGAGUGGACAAGUAAAUAGCAAGGAAUUGCUCAUAUAUAAUCAUAAAGAAUUUUGAGAAGGGCAGCAUGCACUUGAUCAUACUUAUGAGCUCAGAGCUGGUCAGUUCAAAGUUCGAACAAUAUGCCAAGAGAAAAUGAACAUGGUUGGAGAAUCAAGACCCUAUACCUGAUAAAAUUGCUGAUGUUGAGAUCUUCCAUAUCUCAGAUGACAUGGAUUACAGCAACAAAAUGCCGACGUUGUGCCUGCUGAAAUAACUGAAUGUUCAGUGUUGGAACAUAUAAGCUUAAACUAAAAUCCAUAUUAUGUAUAACAGAAUGAAUAUUGUGUUGGAAAAUAAUAGACAUGGCAAAAAGGGAGCGAUGAUCUCUUGCUUCCUUCGUCUUUCUCAUCAAAUUUUGAAUGUAUACGAAUCUUGCUGGUUAUAAGCAUGUGGGUGAAGAAGUUCUGUAUUGGGUCCCUUUAGCCUUUAGGCAAUGAAACUUAAGUUCACCCCUUUCUGUUUCUA